GACAGAGGGUGCAAACGUUGUUCGGAAUUACUGGGCGUAAAGCGCGUGUAGGCGGUCGGGCAAGUCGGAUGUGAAAGCCCAGGGCUCAACCCUGGAAGUGCACUCGAUACUGCUCGGCUAGAGUCCCGGAGAGGAUGGUGGAACUCUCGGUGUAGAGGUGAAAUUCGUAGAUAUCGAGAAGAACACCGGUGGCGAAGGCGGCCAUCUGGACGGUGACUGACGCUGAGACGCGGAAAGCGUGGGGGAGCAAACAGG
This 255-nucleotide ribosomal RNA is filed under the name uncultured bacterium. Its description in RNAcentral is "partial 16S ribosomal RNA". It matches the Rfam family "Bacterial small subunit ribosomal RNA", at positions 524 to 776 of the family's 1533-position model. The record is from RNAcentral.